GACAGAGGGUGCAAACGUUGUUCGGAAUUACUGGGCGUAAAGCGCGUGUAGGCGGCAUGACAAGUCGGAUGUGAAAGCCCUGGGCUCAACCCAGGAAGUGCAUUCGAUACUGCCGUGCUAGAGUCCCGGAGAGGGUGGUGGAACUCUCGGUGUAGAGGUGAAAUUCGUAGAUAUCGAGAAGAACACCGGUGGCGAAGGCGGCCACCUGGACGGUGACUGACGCUGAGACGCGAAAGCGUGGGGAGCAAACAGG
This 253-nucleotide ribosomal RNA is filed under the name uncultured bacterium. RNAcentral describes it as "partial 16S ribosomal RNA". It matches the Rfam family "Bacterial small subunit ribosomal RNA", at positions 524 to 776 of the family's 1533-position model. The record is from RNAcentral.